This 25-nucleotide non-coding RNA is filed under the name Mus musculus (house mouse). Lineage: Eukaryota; Metazoa; Chordata; Mammalia; Rodentia; Muridae. The record is from RNAcentral.
UGCCUGCACGCUGCCACUCUUCCUG